This 539-nucleotide ribosomal RNA is filed under the name Halomonas sp. RNAcentral describes it as "bacterial SSU rRNA". It matches the Rfam family "Bacterial small subunit ribosomal RNA", at positions 111 to 653 of the family's 1533-position model. The record is from RNAcentral. Lineage: Bacteria; Pseudomonadati; Pseudomonadota; Gammaproteobacteria; Oceanospirillales; Halomonadaceae.
UAAUGCAUAGGAAUCUGCCCGAUAGUGGGGGAUAACCUGGGGAAACCCAGGCUAAUACCGCAUACGUCCUACGGGAGAAAGGGGGCUCCGGCUCCCGCUAUGGGAUGAGCCUAUGUCGGAUUAGCUAGUUGGUGAGGUAACGGCUCACCAAGGCCACGAUCCGUAGCUGGUCUGAGAGGAUGAUCAGCCACAUCGGGACUGAGACACGGCCCGAACUCCUACGGGAGGCAGCAGUGGGGAAUAUUGGACAAUGGGGGAAACCCUGAUCCAGCCAUGCCGCGUGUGUGAAGAAGGCCCUCGGGUUGUAAAGCACUUUCAGCGAGGAAGAACGCCUAACGGUUAAUACCCGCUAGGAAAGACAUCACUCGCAGAAGAAGCACCGGCUAACUCCGUGCCAGCAGCCGCGGUAAUACGGAGGGUGCAAGCGUUAAUCGGAAUUACUGGGCGUAAGCGCGCGUAGGUGGCUUGAUAAGCCGGUUGUGAAAGCCCCGGGCUCAACCUGGGAACGGCAUCCGGAACUGUCAAGCUAGAGUGCAGGA